AUAUUCUUCCCACCGGGGAACAAACUUGUAAGAGCAAUUGAUACACUUCAUUAGGUCUUUGAAGAAGUGUAUCAAUUGCUUUUUUUAGU
RNAcentral lists this non-coding RNA (89 nucleotides) under unclassified sequences. The record is from RNAcentral.